This is a long non-coding RNA of Chenopodium quinoa (quinoa), 571 nucleotides long. RefSeq lists it as uncharacterized. The record is from RefSeq and is a predicted model, not a curated record. The transcript is spliced from 4 exons. NCBI's taxonomy places the organism in Eukaryota, Viridiplantae, Streptophyta, Magnoliopsida, Caryophyllales, Amaranthaceae.
CUUCAUUUUCUUCACGUUUGAGUUGCUUUUUUCCUCUUCGACGGUACGCUCCAUCUCUCCCCUCGAUUGAAGUGCGAUCUGAAUCCUCCAUUGAAGUGCCUUCUUAGCUCUCUCUCCUCCUCCUAUGAAGCAGCUUUUGAGUUUCAGAAUUUGGAUUCUUCAGAACAUCAUCGCAUAGACAACGGGCCGGAGGAGGAGGGAUUGUUUUUGAGGUGCUCUGAAAAGCACUUUAAUGGUGCUUAUGAAUUCAGCAAACGAAAUUGUAUUCCCUAAUUCUUAUUAGGGGGCAUUUGGUUUGUGGGAUUCGGUUGAGUUGCUGCCAUGGUUGAGGUUUUCCCACUUCGAGAAUGUGCCGCCAAAUUGUUCGAUGAAAUGCAGAUCUGAGUCUCCCUAUAACCCACCCACCAAAUAAACCUUGAAGAUGUAUUAGGGGGCGUUUGGUUUGUGGGAUUCGGUUGAGUUGUCUCCAUGGUUGAGGUUUUCCCACUUCAAGAAUGUGCCGCCAAAUUGUUCGAUGAAAUGCAGAUCUGAGUCUCCCUAUAACCCACCCACCAAAUAAACCUUGAAGAUG